UCCAGGUGCUCUUAGAACUCUGUCGCCGAGGUACUUGUCGGUGACGGAUAAGGGUUAAGGUGUUCACUGUCAAUUAAAUUGCAGCCAGCAGAAUGAAAGAAUCGCCAACGCUGGUAUUAAUGACGGUGGUGGUAAUAUGGGCGGCGAUCGCGGGCGUAGAAGGCGCGAGCGGCCACGGCAAGAUCUCUGGCGUGAAGGAGAUAUCGACGAAAGGCAGAAUUUUCUACACUUACCGUGGGAUACCCUACGCGAAGCCGCCCGUGGGAGAGUUAAGGUUUAGGGACCCAGUUCGGGCCGAUAGAUGGGAGGGGGUAAUGGAUGGG
This is a long non-coding RNA of Penaeus monodon (black tiger shrimp), 323 nucleotides long. RefSeq lists it as uncharacterized. The record is from RefSeq and is a predicted model, not a curated record. The transcript has 3 exons. NCBI's taxonomy places the organism in Eukaryota, Metazoa, Arthropoda, Malacostraca, Decapoda, Penaeidae.